UAGUCGAUGGGAAACAGGUUAAUAUUCCUGUACUUGGUGUUACUGCGAAGGGGGGACGGAGAAGGCUAUGUUAGCCGGGCGACGGUUGUCCCGGUUUAAGCAUGUAGGCUGAUUGUCCAGGCAAAUCCGGAUAAUCAAGGCUGAGGUGUGAUGACGAGGCACUACGGUGCUGAAGUAACAAAUGCCCUGCUUCCAGGAAAAGCCUCUAAGCAUCAGGUAACAU
Molecule: ribosomal RNA, 223 nt
Filed under: Klebsiella pneumoniae
Lineage: Bacteria; Pseudomonadati; Pseudomonadota; Gammaproteobacteria; Enterobacterales; Enterobacteriaceae
Also listed under: 6 other names
Description: partial 23S ribosomal RNA
Rfam family: Bacterial large subunit ribosomal RNA
Source: RNAcentral